CUUGACUUGUUGAGUGCGUCCAUGUCUGCGGCGCAGGAGAAAGAUAGAAGUCCUCAUGUUAUCCUUGUGUGGUAUGGUCUAUGUGUUAUGAUAUAGAGAAUUAAGAUUUGUGUGUUCCAGGUUUUUGGUUCAGUUCAUAAUAUAAUGGGAAGUCAUUAAAUUCUUGAGCAGCACGGACAUCUGCAGGAGAUUUAAGAAUCGAUCUUCAGAUGAAUGAGGAAGAUGGUAUUGCUAUGCAGUUAUUUGGUGGGGGUAUAUGUUCAAAGAAGGGACAAGGUAAUGUAAACUGAUAAUAUUUGGUGGUAUUGCGGUAUUCCCUUGUUGGGUCGACUAUUGAUAAUUGAGUUGUUGAUGCGC
Molecule: long non-coding RNA, 357 nt
Filed under: Nicotiana benthamiana
Lineage: Eukaryota; Viridiplantae; Streptophyta; Magnoliopsida; Solanales; Solanaceae
Description: long non-coding RNA (NBEN_LNC016744)
Source: RNAcentral